This 472-nucleotide long non-coding RNA is filed under the name Scleropages formosus (Asian bonytongue). RNAcentral describes it as "lncRNA (ENSSFOG00015032017.1)". The record is from RNAcentral. Lineage: Eukaryota; Metazoa; Chordata; Actinopteri; Osteoglossiformes; Osteoglossidae.
GUCGGAUCUUCCGCAAUCGAUCAUCUGACAUCUUGACUCGGACAUCAAGGCUACAUUAUCGGCCAGAUGGACGCGUCAGGGACGGAACGCCGCUGACACUUCUUAACCGAUGUUUCCUCAAGUCAUUACUCUGAGACAUUAUCGUCUGGUCUUCACGCCAUCACGGACCCUCUCGGCUACGUCCGCCAUUCCCACACCCAGCGAGGCGUCUGGUGUUGAUCCUGUUCAAAGCGUCGUGAGACAGACUCCCCUCGCGAGGAGACGCUGGCAUACGUUGAGCUCCACUUCCAGCGGCACGAGUACCCUCGGUGACCCACUAUCAUUAAGGAAUGUGAUAAUAAGAAGGCUAUUAAGACUGUUUCUUAUUGUGAUAUUUUUAAGGUCUUGAACUUGAUGUAAUAUUUGGUUAUUGGAGUGUUUUAUAAUUUCUUUUUUUUUUAAAAAAAAAAAAAAAAAAUUCCCUCUGGCUAGG